This 405-nucleotide ribosomal RNA is filed under the name uncultured bacterium. Its description in RNAcentral is "partial 16S ribosomal RNA". It matches the Rfam family "Bacterial small subunit ribosomal RNA", at positions 33 to 526 of the family's 1533-position model. The record is from RNAcentral.
GACGACGCUGGCGGCGUGCCUAAUACAUGCAAGUAGAACGAGUUGCGAACGGGUGAGUAAUGUCUGGGAAACUGCCCGAUGGAGGGGGAUAACUACUGGAAACGGUAGCUAAUACCGCAUACCAUCGGAUGUGCCCAGAUGGGAUUAGCUAGUAGGUGGGGUAACGGCUCACCUAGGCGACGAUCCCUAGCUGGUUUGAGAGGACGACCAGCCACACUGGAACGGAGACACGGCCCAGACUCCUACGGGAGGCAGCAGUGGGGAAUUUUGGACAAUGGGGGAAACCCUGAUCCAGCCAUGCCGCGUGUGCGAUGAAGGCCUUCGGGUUGUAAAGCACUUUUGGCAGGAAAGCGGUACCUGCAGAAUAAGCACCGGCUAACUACGUGCCAGCCGCCGCGGUAAUAC